RNAcentral lists this ribosomal RNA (394 nucleotides) under uncultured bacterium. RNAcentral describes it as "partial 16S ribosomal RNA". It matches the Rfam family "Bacterial small subunit ribosomal RNA", at positions 338 to 729 of the family's 1533-position model. The record is from RNAcentral.
CCUACGGGUGGCAGCAGUGAGGAAUAUUGGUCAAUGGGCGUAAGACUGAACCAGCCAAGUCGCGUGCGGGAUGACGGUCCUAUGGGUUGUAAACUUCUUUUAUACGGGGAUAAAGUGCGGGACGUGUCAUGUUUUGUAUGUACCUCAUGAAUAAGGAUCGGCUAAUUCCGUGCCAGCAGCCGCGGUAAUACGGAGGGUCCGAGCGUUAUCCGGAUUUAUUGGGUUUAAAGGGUGCGUAGGCCGCCUUUUAAGUGUGCCGUGAAAUUCCGUGGCUUAACCAUAGAAUUGCGGCUGAAACUGGGAUGCUGGAGUAUGCGGGAGGGAGGCGGAAUGCGUGGUGUAGCGGUGAAAUGCUUAGAUAUCACGCAGAACCCAGAUUGCGAAGGCAGCAUAC